Molecule: long non-coding RNA, 822 nt
Filed under: Lotus japonicus
Lineage: Eukaryota; Viridiplantae; Streptophyta; Magnoliopsida; Fabales; Fabaceae
Description: long non-coding RNA (LJAP_LNC001522)
Source: RNAcentral
GAUGGUGGAUGCAUUUAUGGCUGUCAGACCACUUCCCCACAUGUUUGACUGAAGAAGUGGCCUCCUCAUAAACUCAUUGCUUGAAGGGCUUAGUGGAUACAUUUCUCAACUUGAAGUUGAGUUUUCUGCAGCCAUUCCUGUACUACAAAAUAUAAAUAUGCAACUCAAUGGACACAGUUGCCCUUGGUGUAAACCUAUUGUUAUGAAUGAUGAUUCCUUCUUCCAUAUUUUUAUUUGAUUAUCAACACUGUAAUUCUAGCAUAUGGGUACAAUCUAGUCUGGUGACGAUGACAUUAAUCAAUAAGGAUUCAUGUGAUGUAUUCUAUAGCUCGGUAAUACAUGUUGAUAUUUGUUUAUUGCUAUAAAACAACUAUUUUUCUUUAUUAUAUUUUAGUCAUAGCUGCUUGUAUGCUUGGUUUACCUUUUUCGUACAUCAUCAUCUCUUUAACAUUAACAGGCUUGAAGCCUGUAUUCAUUUACCAUUUUUGUAGUCCACGACUUAAAUAAACCCCUUUUUCCAUAAUUCUUUCAUAUGGUGGAUGCAUUUAUGGCUGGCAGAACACUUUCCCACAAGUUUUACUGAAGAAGUGGGCUCACAAAAUCAAUUCUUUUGGCUUUACAGGAGUGGAUAUAUUUCUCAACUUAAAGUUGAGUUUUCUGCAGCCAUUCCUGUACUACUACGAUUUUGUUAUAGGAAUUGCAAUUGUCAAAAUUUCUUGUUUUUUAAUCAACAUCUAAUGAUCCAAGUUUAUUUAAGAAGCUCAGUUUUUGUUUUAAGGUUAAGGGUUUGAGUCUUAUAUUUUCAUUUGACAAGUGUGCUAG